Hevea brasiliensis (rubber tree) is the source of this 2847-nucleotide RNA transcript. RefSeq lists it as uncharacterized. The transcript is spliced from 3 exons. The record is from RefSeq and is a predicted model, not a curated record. Lineage: Eukaryota; Viridiplantae; Streptophyta; Magnoliopsida; Malpighiales; Euphorbiaceae.
AAGGAAAACCAGAUACCUGUAAUGAACCCAGAAUUACUGGCCGGUUCAAAAUGAAUCGCCGUUCACCUGCUGGUCCAGCUUGUCUUCUCAUUUAAUUCAACCGUCUUCCGGUUCUCUCGCGAGACAACCGGGAGUUCCGGUUUUAUUUAUUACCCCUUUACUAGAGCCGGUCCACUUCAUCACUUAACCGGAUGACCCGGUAAACGCCGAACUAAUUAUGGUUAAAACCAAACCGGCUAUUCCCUGAAGCCCUAACCGGUCGGUCCGGUCAAGAUAUCGUUCGGUUUACAAUCCAGAUCAACCUCCUCAACUCGGUUCCACUAGCGAUUCUCUUACCAAGAACACGCAAAAGCAAGGACAAGUAAGUUCUGUCUUCUGUUACCCUUUCUCUGUUUUUCUUUCUUUGUUACAUGUAUUUAAUUCUUUAUGUUUUGAUGUUAGAAUCUUUGGAUUAAGGAAAACAAAAGGGAAAGUUGUUCUUGUUAUAAAUUCUUGAUCCUUAUAGCCAGGAUAAAGUUUCAGUGAUUAUUUUGGUUAGAGUCUUUGGAUUGAGGUUUGCUUUGGAUGGAUUCUAAUUUGGAACCAGUCCCGAUAACAUCACAAAAACAUGACCCGGCAUGGAAGCAUUGCCAAAUGUUCAAGAAUGGGGAAAGAGUGCAGCUCAAGUGUGUGUAUUGUAACAAGUUUUUUAAGGGGGGAGGGAUUCAUAGGAUUAAGGAGCAUUUAGCCGGUCAAAAGGGUAAUGCAUCUACUUGUUUACGAGUUCCUCCUGAUGUUAGGCUUAUGAUGCAACAGAGUUUGGAUGGAGUUGUAGUUAAAAAGAGAAAGAAGCAAAAGAUUGCAGAGGAGAUUUCGAAUUUGAACCAAGUUGGUAAUGAGAUAGAGGUUUUUGGUAAUGAUCAGAUUGAAGUUAAUAACGGUAUGGACUUGAUCGAACUUUCAAAUGUGAUAGAGCCUGGUCCAAGUUUAUUAGUUGGUCGAGAAGAAGGAGGGAUUAGUAAGAGUGGGGAGAGGAGAAAGAAGGGAAGAAGUAAAGGUUCCGCUGCAAAUAUAAAUGCCAUUGUUACUAUGAAUAAUAGGAUGGCAUUAGGUAGUAAAAGAGUGAAUGAUCAUGUUCAUAUGGCAAUAGGAAGGUUUUUAUAUGAUAUUGGGGCACCUUUGGAUGCUGUGAACUCGGUUUAUUUCCAGCCAAUGGUUGAUGCUAUUGCUUCGGGAGGAUCAGAGGUUGAGAUGCCUUCGUAUCAUGACCUUCGUGGUCAGAUAUUGAAGAAUACAGUUGAAGAAGUGAAGACUGAUGUUGAUAAGCACAUGGCAACUUGGGCAAGGACUGGUUGUUCUGUUUUGGUGGAUCAAUGGAACACAUUAAUGGGUAGAACUCUGCUAAGUUUUUUGGUUUACUCUUCUGAAGGAGUGGUGUUUUUGAAAUCUGUCGAUGCAUCUGAUUUUAUAAAUUCGUCUGAUGCCCUAUAUGAAUUGCUUAAACAAGUGGUGCUAGAAGUUGGAGCUAGACAUGUUUUGCAAGUGAUAACUAAUAUGGAAGAGCAAUAUAUUGUUGCAGGUAGAAGGUUGUCUGAUUCUUUUCCUACUUUAUAUUGGGCUCCUUGUGCAGCUCAUUGUCUAGAUUUGAUCCUCAAAGAUUUUGCAAAAAUUGGAUGGAUAAAUACAGUAAUUGAACAAGCUAGGUCUAUAACAAGAUUUGUAUACAAUUACAGUGUGGUAUUGAAUAUGGUGAGAAAGUAUACUGCUGGCAAUGAUAUUGUAGAACCAGGUCUCACUCGUUUUGCUACAAACUUUGCGACAUUGAAACGAAUGGUUGAUCUUAAGCAUACUUUGCAGGCCAUGGUUACUUCACAGGAGUGGAUGGAUUGUCCAUAUGCAAAGAAACCAGGGGGACUAGAGAUGUUAGAUUUAUUAAGUAAUCAAUCAUUUUGGUCCAACUGUGUCCUGAUAACCGAUCUAACAAAUCCGCUCUUGAGACUUUUGAGAAUAGUUAGUGGCAAUAAGAGGCCUGCAAUGGGGUAUGUUUAUGCAGGAAUAUACCGAGCAAAAGAAGCAAUUAAGAAGGAACUUGUAAAGAGGAAUGAUUAUAUGGUGUACUGGAAUAUUAUAGAUCAUUGGUGGGAACAACAAAAUAAUCUCCCUCUUCAUGCUGCUGGUUUCUUCCUUAAUCCCAAGUUCUUUUAUAGUAUUGAAGGAGAUGUCCACAAUGAGAUUCUGUCUCAGAUGUUUGAUUGCAUAGAAAAACUGGUUCCUGAUGUUAGUGUUCAAGAUAAAAUCACCAAAGAGAUAAACUCUUACAAGAAUGCUGCUGGAGAUUUUGGAAGGAAGAUGGCAGUUAGAGCUAGAGACACUCUGCUUCCUGGGUUGGUAAGAAUGAAGAACAAGACACCAUUGAUCCCAUAUCAUUUGAUAGCGUUAGUGCUUUGGAGGACUGGGUCAGGGAAAAAGACAUGAGCUCAGAAGACUAUGAAAACACAGAUUGGAUGGCACUUGAUCCACCUGCUGCUAACACAAGGUUCCUAGGACAUUCAUAUGAUGAAGUUGAAGAGUUGAGUGUAGGGUUUGAAGAUCAUGAUAUUUUCAAUAGAAUGAAAGACUCUGAGGAAAACAACGUGGAAGACAAUCAGUAGAACAGCUUAGAAGUACACAUUUUGUUUGGAGUAUUUACAUGGAUGACUGGUUGCUUUUGCACUAUAAUCCAUUGUAGUAGUGAUUUAUGAUUAACAUUAGAGACAAUUAUCAGAUGUAAAUGGAUUAGGAUUCCUGUAACUGUAGACAGCAUCACUAGGAAGACUAAACUAGAUUAUGGUGAACAAGAUUUGAUAAUAACAACUGUUGUUCAGCGUC